GUUUUAAUAGUUUAACAAAAACAUUGGUCUUGUAUACCAAAAAUAAGAUCCUAUCUUUUAAAACU
RNAcentral lists this transfer RNA (65 nucleotides) under Layahima wuzhishana. Its description in RNAcentral is "tRNA-Thr". It matches the Rfam family "tRNA". From Rfam's summary of the family: Transfer RNA (tRNA) molecules are approximately 80 nucleotides in length. Their secondary structure includes four short double-helical elements and three loops (D, anti-codon, and T loops). Further hydrogen bonds mediate the characteristic L-shaped molecular structure. tRNAs have two regions of fundamental functional importance: the anti-codon, which is responsible for specific mRNA codon recognition, and the 3' end, to which the tRNAs corresponding amino acid is attached (by aminoacyl-tRNA synthetases). tRNAs cope with the degeneracy of the genetic code in two manners: having more than one tRNA (with a specific anti-codon) for a particular amino acid; and 'wobble' base-pairing, i.e. permitting non-standard base-pairing at the 3rd anti-codon position. Lineage: Eukaryota; Metazoa; Arthropoda; Insecta; Neuroptera; Myrmeleontidae. The record is from RNAcentral.